This 589-nucleotide ribosomal RNA is filed under the name Engraulidae sp. NDV-2013. Its description in RNAcentral is "partial 16S ribosomal RNA". It matches the Rfam family "Bacterial large subunit ribosomal RNA", at positions 1813 to 2606 of the family's 2925-position model. Lineage: Eukaryota; Metazoa; Chordata; Actinopteri; Clupeiformes; Engraulidae. The record is from RNAcentral.
ACAUCGCCUCUUGCAUUCCAAAGUAUAAGAGGUCCCACCUGCCCUGUGACUCUAAGUUUAACGGCCGCGGUAUUCUAACCGUGCGAAGGUAGCGCAAUCAAUUGCCUUUUAAAUGAAGGCCUGUAUGAAUGGUAUAACGAGGGUCUAGCUGUCUCUUUUUUCUAGUCAGUUAAACUGAUCUGUCCGUGCAGAAGCGGACAUAAAUAUACAAGACGAGAAGACCCUAUGGAGCUUUAGACACUAGCCAACUGUAAAUAAGCGACUAAACUAAGCAAGUCCUAAACACCCGCAGCCUUCUGGCAAUGUAGUCUUAGGUUGGGGCGACCACGGGAGAAAGUAAAGCUCCCAAGCAGACCGGGAAAACCCUUAAGCCAAGAGUUGCAACUCUAAGCCGCAAAAUUUUUGACUGAAAUGAUCCGGUUGAAAAACCGAUUAACGAACCAAGUUACCCUAGGGAUAACAGCGCAAUCCCCUCCCAGAGUCCCUAUCGACGAGGGGGUUUACGACCUCGAUGUUGGAUCAGGACAUCCUAAUGGUGCAGCCGCUAUUAAGGGUUCGUUUGUUCAACGAUUAAAGUCCUACGUGAUCU